GCAAGUCGAACGGUAAAGCGGGCUUCGGCCUGGCGACGAGUGGCGGACGGGUGAGUACAACACGGAACGUAUCCUGAAGUGGGGGAUAGCCCGGCGAAAGCCGGAUUAAUACCGCAUGAUCUCUUAGGAACAAAGCGGGGGAGCCGUAAGGUCCUCGCGCUAUUGGAGCGGCCGAGGCUGGAUUAGCUUGUUGGUGGGGUAAAGGCCUACCAAGGCAACGAUCCGUAGCUGGUCUGAGAGGAUGAUC
This 247-nucleotide ribosomal RNA is filed under the name uncultured bacterium. Its description in RNAcentral is "partial 16S ribosomal RNA". It matches the Rfam family "Bacterial small subunit ribosomal RNA", at positions 57 to 305 of the family's 1533-position model. The record is from RNAcentral.